CCUACGGUGAGCAGCAGUGGGGAAUAUUGCGCAAUGGGCGAAAGCCUGACGCAGCGACGCCGCGUGAGGGAUGAAGGUCUUCGGAUCGUAAACCUCUGUCAGCAGGGAAGAACGGUCACUGUGCUAAUCAGCAGUGAAUUGACGGUACCUGCAAAGGAAGCACCGGCUAACUCCGGGCCAGCAGCCGCGGUAAUACGGAGGGUGCGAGCGUUAAACGGAAUUACUGGGCGUAAAGCGAUCGUAGGCGGUAUUGCAAGUCAAGGGUGAAAUCCCCGCGCUCAACGGUGGAACUGCCUUUGAAACUGGCAAACUGGAGUGUGUGAGAGGAUAGUGGAAUUCCAGGUGUAGGGGUGAAAUCCGUAGAUAUCUGGAGGAACAUCAGUGGCGAAGGCGACUAUCUGGCACAUAACUGACGCUGAGGAGCGAAAGCGUGGGUAGCAAACAGGAUUAGAUACCCGAGUAGUC
Molecule: ribosomal RNA, 465 nt
Filed under: uncultured bacterium
Lineage: Bacteria
Description: partial 16S ribosomal RNA
Rfam family: Bacterial small subunit ribosomal RNA
Source: RNAcentral